Molecule: long non-coding RNA, 602 nt
Organism: Musca domestica (house fly)
Lineage: Eukaryota; Metazoa; Arthropoda; Insecta; Diptera; Muscidae
Exons: 3
Source: RefSeq, a predicted model, not a curated record
UAAAAACUCGAAAAGUCGAAAAAGGUCCCAUUAUAGGGGUCAACAGAGUUGAUAUAGCUGACACUCUUACCUUUCCAAAAUCCUACAAUUUGUGCUAAUACCUUUUUCGGGUCCAGAGAUAUGGGUCUUUCCAUUCGCCAUAACUCAAUUCCAAAAUGCUACAAUUUGUGCUAAUACAUUUUUCGGGUCCAGAGAUACAUAUUCUCUUCUGGUUAAAAAUUUAACAGUUGUUUGAAAUCCGAUGAAGGAUAUCAUAAUCGUAGACGUCGUGCUUCUAAAAUGAUGCUUUGUAGGAGAAUUUUGCGAAAAUCACAUGAAGUACUGCGAGUCGAAGUUGUCAAAAUACAGAGUAUAGUAUUUAUUGGAUCUAAUAUAAGUGUUGCAUCAGAUGUUGCAGAUCAGAUAAUUAACUGUACUUUUUUCAGGCUCUCUCAGAGCACGCAACGAAGACGGUGAAAAAUUUGGCAUUCUCCAUUCUACAAAAAGGACGCAUAUUUUUAUUUACGAAUUCUAUUAGUUGACGCAUUUUAGAGAGAUUUUUUUCGUUGUCUAUAAUAAGAAAAUAGAAUGAAAUAAAAUCCUAUUUCCAUUUUUUACUUAAA